CCCCUAGAUGUUCUGGGCCGCACGCGCGCUACACUGAACAGUUCAACAAGUCUUAACCUUGGCCGAUAGGUCUGGGCAAUCUUUGAACGCUGUUCGUGAUUGGGAUAGACCUUUGCAAUUAUGGGUCUUCAACGAGGAAUUCCUAGUAAACGCAAGUCAUCAGCUUGCAUUGAUUACGUCCCUGCCCUUUGUACACACCGCCCGUCGCACCUACCGAUUGAAUGGUCCGGUGAAAUCUCGGGACGGCGGCUUGGUCGCUUGCGUCCGACUGCUGAAACUUGAUUAAACCAUAUCAUUUAGAGGAAGGUGAANUCGUANCA
RNAcentral lists this ribosomal RNA (320 nucleotides) under uncultured eukaryote. RNAcentral's name for it is "partial 18S ribosomal RNA". It matches the Rfam family "Eukaryotic small subunit ribosomal RNA", at positions 1470 to 1796 of the family's 1831-position model. The record is from RNAcentral.